Molecule: long non-coding RNA, 7734 nt
Organism: Leopardus geoffroyi (Geoffroy's cat)
Lineage: Eukaryota; Metazoa; Chordata; Mammalia; Carnivora; Felidae
Exons: 2
Source: RefSeq, a predicted model, not a curated record
CGGCUUAGGAGGACUUCUCGUUGCUACCAGCCCUCCUGUCCACUCUCAGUGUGUCCACCAGAGGGUACAAUUAUCACGGAAAAUGUUGCCUCCAAUCAAUAGGGUGUUUUGAUGGAGUCAACUGAUCUUUGCAGAAAAAUCUAUUCAGUCACACACACACACACGCACACACCUGCUAAUACACACACGGCACCAGUCCUCUGUCAAAACAGCUUAGGUGAUUUUUCUUGAUGCAAAGCUCUGAUUCUGAAUAUAAAAACAAAGAGAGAGAGAGAGAGAACAUAUCCCUCAAGACUCCAGGAAAAAAACACAAAUAGUACCACUUAGAAAUCAUAGACCAUUCUCGUUCGGAAGCUGAUACCAUGUGUGAAAAUCCUACCCAGUGGACCGCAAACUCAACUGUUGUUUACACGUGUAUUAGAAUCAAUGGAAUGGUUCGUUUUCCACACAUUUCAGGAUUUGUCUUUUCGUUUAAAGUUUCCGUUGAGAACAUCCUUUCUGCCAGAAAUCCUAUGCAGUGCAUCUGUGGCUUUUGACAAGGCCAAGGAGCUCGAGAAGUUCGGGAGGUACACGAAAUGGUGAUCGCGAGUCAGUAUUCAGUUGCAGACGUGUAAUAAAUCGCUGAAGAGGAAGCACGGGAAAAACAAGGCAAAAGCGAGCGUCAGAUUUCCCGGCCUGUGCGGCUCACACUGGCAUGUAAGUGCAGGGGCAGAAGAGGGACAGGCUGACCCGGAUGUUACAAGACGCGGAAAAGCGUGGCUCCGUGUGAGCACGUGCCGGGCCACACCCACCUAGUGCCAAACACCGUCCAACCACAGGACUGACGUGCAAGUCCCAAACACCUGAGAACGAGUGGCCUGAGCCCCCCCCCCCACCCACCCACCCAAACGCGGACGUGAGAGUGCACCAUCAAGUUCCCCACUGUGUACAGACUUUCCCCACCCCCAGCCCCCAAUCCAAGGUCAAAGUGAUGUGUCUUUUAGAGGCUUUGGGACCCUUUUUAGUAAGUAUGAGCAGACAAUGAAUGCAGUGACCAUGCUACGAGAAAACCCUUCCCAACUGAUUGAGGGCUUAUCACUCGAUCCAGCUAAGAUUUGUAUUUGAAUCGUUUGUAAAGUCGCACUCUUACAACAAACUUCUGGGUUUUAAAUACCUCCGUACAGCAAGUAAACGUUCCCUGCUUUCUGUUCCCAGUGUCCUCGGUCAUGGUGCUUUUUGUUGCAUUAAAAGUGCCGGUCAAACUUUGAUAGUAUUUUUUUAUAGUUGGUGCAGAGUGGAAUAACUCAUGGAUUAUUUCAAUAUUUUUGUAAUAAAAAAAAUAUAGGGUAUACAUGUAGGCAUCAUCACUUUUUUUAUAGACCUGGAAUCGUUUAAAAUACUUUAAGCGUCAUCAUUCCUUGGGAUGUCCGAAACUGGUCCACAAAUUCCAUCAGCCUGCCUCAGCGGAUUGAGAACACCUGUCUCUUGGAAGAUCACCCUACUUGGCAAUGUCGGUGCCCCCAGGAACCUGGCCAGGGGUGCUAUCAGAAUAUCAGGUGACGAGAGAAUCAGCUUACCUAGAAAGGGCUUGUCAAGACUGGCCAAUGUUUCCCAGGAUGUGAAAGCUGUUAAUGAUUACUUUUAUCCAUCCAUUAUCACGAACCUGACCACAGUGGAAGAUGUCUUAAACUUCCUUCCCUGGUUUUAUAUUAACCCAAGUGAUAUAUUAAAUAUUAGUCCAAGUCACUAAAAAGAGAGAGAGAGAGACAGAGAGAGAGAGAGAGAGAGACAGAGAGAGAGGGGAAAAGUCCGUUUAACUUCAUGACUCCGUUAUCUGGACUGUCCAAUCCACUUAAAAUAGUCAAGUUCUAGAGCCACCACCUGUAAUGGGUGGGUCCUACAGAGACUGCUGUCCCCGUGACAUCCACAGGAAAUGGCAGAGCGCUCAACCUAGGACUUCUUUUGGUACAAAGCCCCAGAGCAAUGUUUUCAAAAUAGAUGACUUUUUAUCGCUUGAUGUGCUUCCCUAGUACUCCACGAUUUCAUCCUCCAAGCAAGAUUGCCACUAAAAAACAAUGAUCUUUUGUCCGGAUGUGAAAAGUUUACCCGGUCGCCAGCAAAGGUCCAGGAAGACGCUCUUCUUGUCAGUGACUGGUGAAAACAUUGCGCCCCCCAUCGUGGAAGGAAGACGUGAUUACAUUGGCAAAAACUCUUCAUCUUUGUGCAGGACCAUGAGUUAUUAGCUUCGUUAUUUCCAAGAAGACUUGUAAGUGAUGAUGUCUGGAAACUGAAUGGCUCAGCUGAACUGUACCUUUGAUUUCACGAGUAAAUAACAGAUCACAAUUAUAGCGUCAAUCGACACAAACUCAGCAGGCCCCACCACUCCUCAGUCAUGUAAGUCCUGAGUUAUUUCUCAAUUUGAUCCCUCCUUUACCAUGUUAAGAGUCAAAAUGAGUGCUUUGUGAAUCAACCGUGAUGUACUGUGCUUCGUCCUGGAGGUCAGAAUGCAGUGUUAGGCGGGCGUAAGAAAUCUGCAUCUUUCCGUGAUUUCCCAAAUACUGGAAAUACUCUGUUGUCCAACAUACUUGAAGAGUGUGAUGUUUUAGUUAGUCAAAAACUCUUGCUAAGUAAAUGACAUCUCCACCACAAAUUCCAAACUUUCUUCAGAUUACAAGAACCAAAACCCUCAACCUCCCAGGAAAAUCAUGACUUAAUCUUGUUUCCAUGAUCGAGAAGAGCACGGCAGGGCCCUCAGACUGUGCAGUGACAGGAACUGUUAUUAGAUGCUAGAUUCACAGAUAACAGAGAGUUUAAAGUAUGAGGAUUUAAAGAGACAUUGUCAAUGUACAAAGGAACAAAGUUGGAUUUUUGUGCUUGUGUUUUAGUUCUUCCUAAGAUUUCAUGUUCAAUCUGCCGUGAAACCCUCCACGGACAGUAACUGGAGAAUCCAAAAAAGAACAAUACUCUGGUUAGCGUACAGAUUGGAAGUGCUGGGUUCUUUCUCUGUGGGAUCAGACUUCCUGUGCCUGAGUCGACUCGGAUUCUUGGCCGGGGAAGGGGUCCUGCGCUUAGCAUUCCCUUUUUGCACUGGACCAUAAAAUUUUCUAAAAGAAAAUGUUAUACCUUUCUUUCACUUUCAAAUUAGCAUUUCGACAUGAAACCUCAUGUAAGAUUAAAGAACGUACGUAGCUUCACAUACUGAGACUUUUAAGUAUUCGCGUGGAAGAAAACAAAUUUUUUCCAUGUAAGUGACAGUUUGGUCCCCCAUAAUGACUCUUGUCUCUUCAAUUCCCUUAGCCGUUGACGCUGUCCUACUUAACUAUGUACUGGCUAGUUCAGUGACACUGACUUUGCAGACACUCAGUUACUACUCACAACGAAUGAAAGAAAUUCUCUUACUGACUUGGCAAGCACAUGCAAUUCGAGUAUUAGCACAAUAUAAAAUACAAAGAUAACCUGAAGAGUAAAGUAUAAUGAAGUGUAUAUGCUUAAUUCCUAAAUGCCCGAUUUAUUUUUGCUCUAUGAAUAAGUGACGUGAUAGCACUGACCAAAUAUUUUCCUUCUCCUUUUUGGCCCGAGCUGACAGUCCCUGUCUAUAAGACGUCAACAUCCUUGUGAUGUUGUGGGAAAUACCCAGGUGCAAUUUAAUGCUUUCAGCUUGAAUAAGCUGUCUCACUCCGGAAAGAUUUCAUCUUUUAAGCAGCUGAAUAGAAUAGUUUUGAAUCAUCUCAAAGUUCCUUUCUCCAAACCGAUUGAAUUGAGCGAAGAAAAACUCUUGUGUCCUCACCAGGAAUUGUGCAAGAUUGCACGCUUGCCUUUAAACGCGCCAAAUGCCAUUGAGUGGAGCGAGUUCUCCCCCAAUGUGUAGACGAGGAUCCAUUUUUUUUUCCUAAUGAACCAUUUUCUAGACUACAUAUGUGCUUCUCUGCAGUCCCCUACAUCUUUGCCAUUAGCCAUUACUGUUUCUAUAUAAAGCUUGGGUGAUAUGCCUGCAUUUUUAUGUUUCUAAGGAGAAUUCCUUAAAGCCUGUUUACAAACAGCUCAGACUGUCUUUCAGAAGUGUAGCUUGAAGAAUGGUUGAAAUGCACAGCAGAACUGAGGUGGUUGUUUCUAUACAUCCAGCAAUGGAAGCACAUCAGCUCACGUCCCUUUAGCUUCAGCAAUCCGGUGUCACUCCUGAAAACAAGCAAAACGGUUGCUUCUGCCAGCUUGUGACUCAAAACGCCCCUCUUCCCCAUCUGAAGCUGGGGCAUUCCAACAUGGCUAAGGAUGGGCCAUUCCCUUCUAGCGCCCACCCUCCCCCCUCCUCCACCAGCACCUUACCUCCAUUUCCAAGUCUCCGGUCCUGACCUGUAUCAGGCUAUGAAGUGAGCUCAGCCGUUGGGUUGUGUCUCCUCUGCUCACUCAGAGGGGCUGCACUGUCCACUGUAGAGCUUUCUCUGGGCACGCAUGUCCUGUCCAGUCGCCCUCCUAGAAAUGGGCACGCAGGAAGACUAGCGUGUGCCUGUGAUCAACAGUCUCAACAGGAUUACUCAUUCGACAGCGAAACUCCGCAGAAUGUGGGCGGAAUUGUAUAAAAACACAAUGAGCCAUUUAAUUUUGUUAAUUGUAGCAAUUAGGCUAGCUCGAACACAGGCUGCGCUCACAGCGGAAAGCCAAAAUGGAAGAAAUGGCAAACAGCCAUUUGCCCACAGAAAUGAGGGGUUCAGAAGCUCUCCCUUGAGUGUUUAAGGCAUCACGUUGUUUGAUCAUCCAUCUGUAGCUCUUUCUCUAGACUCCAUAAGAAAAGAAAUCAGACUUCUGUUAUAUCGCAUGCCAUGGUGGAAUUCAGAAAUGGAAAACUUUAGUCAACCUGUUGUGGCCUAUGUUCUGCUCCGUGAGGGAUGGUUGGAUGUCCCUGAAAUGUCCAAUUGUUUUUGCUAAAAUAUUUUACUCACACAAAUGGUAUCCUGACCAUAGUACGUCAGAAACACUUGGCAAACUCCAAUUUUUGCGUCGGUGAUUUUUGUUACCCUUAGAUUUUCUUGCAGCUCAGUUCCCCAUAUUGACGGUAACUUACCACGACGGGGACCUUACCGUGUACCCAGUGCUGUGCUAAAGAGCUUUACCUGUGCGAUUUCACUUAAUCCACCCAACUAUCUGUGAAUUAAGUACCAUUUACAGAUGACAAAACUUAAGCUCGGCGAUACUAAAAUUGCCAAAGGUCCCACAGCUAGGAAGCCGUGGAGCUGAGAAUUGAACACGACUCGUAACACUUUUUAACUACUGCAGAUUUUUUGAGAGGACCAAGGAACAUUUUCCCACCCAAAUCUACUUCUGAUUUGAAACAUCUUGGAACUUGUCAAGCUUUACCGAAGGUGAUUUGCGUUAAGUAAUGCAACAGACCCUUUAAUCUUGCAAACUCUUGACUUGUAAUGUUGUAGCCAAGCAAGGGGAAAUUAAUCAGUUAGUCGGAAAGAGCACUUCCUGCUGGGCCGUGCCCAGGCCUGAACAGAAAGACCUCUGUGAAAGUGGGAGCACUAAGGAAUUCGUGCUACCUGCUUCCUCAUCAUUCAUGCUAUGAAUAUUCAUCCGCUUCAUUUGUUUUUUCCGGGAAGCGCUGCUUUGAAACAAAGAAAGAAAUUAAGAAAGAUGGUAAAGGAAAAAAGUCAAUGGAUUCCUGGGGCUUGUGUAGCUCGGAGAAUAGGUACUGGGUCACAGAGACUCGUGUUCAAUGGAUACAAAUCUACAUGUGUUUGGAAUCGAAAAAAAAAAUGUCAUUGUCAUCUCUUUAAUGAUUGAUCUGAGUACAGUGGCCACCCUGCAUUUGUUGAGGCUACUGUUGUCAGCAGCGUGAAAACCAAUUUCUAAAAAUUGAACCUGUAAUUCAGUUUCGGAGGUAAAAAUCUGCACGGAUGGAACUAUUCAGUAAUUUGGUUCCUGCCUUCCCUGGGUGGUGACCUGGCAAGUUUCAGACCGAGGCGACUGUGUGGAAUUGGCUCUCCUGCUCCUUCUGAGACCCUGCAACGUCUCGGUUACAAGCUAGAAGAUCGUCAAUUUGAGAUUCUUGAUUGCCUAAGUGUUUGCUUCAAAGUAAACAGGUAAUCUCGCCGUUAAAAAAUCACGGUUCUUUCCCACUUGCUUCUCUGUUUUCCAAGAAAGGUUUGAGCUGUAACGGAAGAAUGAAUGUACCUCAGAUGGUAGUUCGAGAGGCUGCAAGAGUCGGGCAUCCGUCUGUUCUUAUAAAGUUUCUGUCUGACCUUUUGGAAGAGCAAUUUUAGGAAUGAACCCCAGAUGAAUGAGUGAAAGCCAUCAGAUUUAUCUGAUAAGCACCCUAACGGAAACAUUUUUAAAAAAAAGAAGCAAGGAUCCUUUUUCUUGUGUUUCAAGGAUGUUUCUCCUUCCUGAGCGAUCAUCUUGGUGAUUCUCUCCAAGAUGUAGCAAGAGCUACUGAACGAUAGUUUCAGUUAUGGGCUCCAGUAUCGUGCUGAACACGAUGACAAAAGUCAUUUUUGAGAACUAGCUCUUGGCUCAAGCACUGAUAUUUAAUGGCAAAAACUGGCCUACCACCGUGUGACUUAUUCUCAAUUGCAAGGCAGUGGAAACUAGUACGUGAAAGAAAAUGUUAAUUUCCUGAACUCCAAAGCCAAAAUGGGCAACAAAGCAACUCUGAAACCUACAAUGAGUUGGUUGACCGUGGGGAACCCGGGAGCAAUAAACAUUCCUCUUCAGCAAGGCUCAUGAGUGAGACUGGCUAUAAGCUGUGUUGGGACAGAAGGUGAUUGAAGAGGACGCCCACCAGUGGCUCAUGAGGAAUAUUUGCCUUUUUAGGGAGCAGAGGUUCAAGGUAGCCCCCUGCUAUUCCAUAACUAUGACGAUAGAUACACCCAUAUACGAAGGGCCAAGGCAGAAGACAGAGAAGAUGCCAGGGGCUUCAUGUCUGAGACUAACUCUGUCUCUAAGGGAACAGCUCUCCUUGGUCAUUGGCCCCUAUGCUGCUAACUAGCUCUGCAUGCCAAGAGCUUCUGAUGGAUUACAAGAUGAGAUAUUCAAAGGUAUUGUAAGUACUCUUGCUCGUAGAACACGAACCAUUGAAUUAUCCCUCAUUUCAACAGCAACGAGAUUCAGGGUUACUAUGGCCUUACUCAUCAUCCCAUUGUAAAUACGUCAUGACGUCACGAGAGCCUCCGUGUUCAAAUUCACUAAAACAGGUUUCCACGUUCCAAGUCUGUGUCUCUAUCCGCAAAUUGGAAACAUAACUUUGGGAGAAUGAUUUUCAGAAUAACGGAAAUGAAAAGAGAGUGGACAGUGAAGCAAUUUCUCACCAUACACGAAACCACUUAGAGUACUGAUAGCCCUAAAGCUCUGAUUUUUUUUUCUCAUGACUAAGUUUCCUUUAACUUAGGGGCUUUCGACAUCUGAAUUUUCCGGAUGAUUGCUGACUCAUCUUCACCAAACUGAAGCAGACACAACGGCAUUGUUAAAAAAUAAAGACUGCCCACAUGAAUGCCAAUAUCCCAAUGAAACGUGAAGAAGGAGGUCACUCAAGGAGUAAAUUUGGUCUUGGUGAGGUCAAACAUUUGGCUGCUUGGGAAAAUCCAGAUGUUUGAAUGAUACGGUUUUUCAUCUGGUCGUCUGGUGGUGUCUCGAUAGAAAAUGCUCAGGUGUUGUAGGUAAUGAAAUUUAACUUUCUUGUUGCAGUAAUCUGUUGCUGGUGAUAUUCUGCUGCUAACAAUCUCUUUGUUGUGCAAAGAGGAAUAAAUAAUGCAGAGCAAA